GGGUUGUGAGGUUAAGCGACUAAGCGUACACGGUGGAUGCCCUGGCAGUCAGAGGCGAUGAAGGACGUGCUAAUCUGCGAUAAGCGUCGGUGAGGUGAUAUGAACCGUUAUAACCGGCGAUUUCCGAAUGGGGAAACCCAGUGUGUUUCGACACACUAUCAUUAACUGAAUCCAUAGGUUAAUGAGGCGAACCGGGGGAACUGAAACAUCUAAGUACCCCGAGGAAAAGAAAUCAACCGAGAUUCCCCCAGUAGCGGCGAGCGAACGGGGAGGAGCCCAGAGCCUGAAUCAGUGUGUGUGUUAGUGGAAGCGUCUGGAAAGGCGCGCGAUACAGGGUGACAGCCCCGUACACAAAAAUGCACAUAUUGUGAGCUCGAUGAGUAGGGCGGGACACGUGGUAUCCUGUCUGAAUAUGGGGGGACCAUCCUCCAAGGCUAAAUACUCCUGACUGACCGAUAGUGAACCAGUACCGUGAGGGAAAGGCGAAAAGAACCUCGGCGAGGGGAGUGAAAAAGAACCUGAAACCGUGUACGUACAAGCAGUGGGAGCCUCUUAAUGGGGUGACUGCGUACCUUUUGUAUAAUGGGUCAGCGACUUAUAUUCUGUAGCAAGGUUAACCGAAUAGGGGAGCCGAAGGGAAACCGAGUCUUAACUGGGCGUUAAGUUGCAGGGUAUAGACCCGAAACCCGGUGAUCUAGCCAUGGGCAGGUUGAAGGUUGGGUAACACUAACUGGAGGACCGAACCGACUAAUGUUGAAAAAUUAGCGGAUGACUUGUGGCUGGGGGUGAAAGGCCAAUCAAACCGGGAGAUAGCUGGUUCUCCCCGAAAGCUAUUUAGGUAGCGCCUCGUGAAUUCAUCUCCGGGGGUAGAGCACUGUUUCGGCAAGGGGGUCAUCCCGACUUACCAACCCGAUGCAAACUGCGAAUACCGGAGAAUGUUAUCACGGGAGACACACGGCGGGUGCUAACGUCUGUCGUGAAGAGGGAAACAACCCAGACCGCCAGCUAAGGUCCCAAAGUCAUGGUUAAGUGGGAAACGAUGUGGGAAGGCCCAGACAGCCAGGAUGUUGGCUUAGAAGCAGCCAUCAUUUAAAGAAAGCGUAAUAGCUCACUGGUCGAGUCGGCCUGCGCGGAAGAUGUAACGGGGCUAAACCAUGCACCGAAGCUGCGGCAGCGACACUAUGUGUUGUUGGGUAGGGGAGCGUUCUGUAAGCCUGUGAAGGUGGCCUGUGAGGGUUGCUGGAGGUAUCAGAAGUGCGAAUGCUGACAUAAGUAACGAUAAAGCGGGUGAAAAGCCCGCUCGCCGGAAGACCAAGGGUUCCUGUCCAACGUUAAUCGGGGCAGGGUGAGUCGACCCCUAAGGCGAGGCCGAAAGGCGUAGUCGAUGGGAAACAGGUUAAUAUUCCUGUACUUGGUGUUACUGCGAAGGGGGACGGAGAAGGCUAUGUUGGCCGGGCGACGGUUGUCCCGGUUUAAGCGUGUAGGCUGGUUUUCCAGGCAAAUCCGGAAAAUCAAGGCUGAGGCGUGAUGACGAGGCACUACGGUGCUGAAGCGACAAAUGCCCUGCUUCCAGGAAAAGCCUCUAAGCAUCAGGUAACAUCAAAUCGUACCCCAAACCGACACAGGUGGUCAGGUAGAGAAUACCAAGGCGCUUGAGAGAACUCGGGUGAAGGAACUAGGCAAAAUGGUGCCGUAACUUCGGGAGAAGGCACGCUGAUAUGUAGGUGAAGCGACUUGCUCGUGGAGCUGAAAUCAGUCGAAGAUACCAGCUGGCUGCAACUGUUUAUUAAAAACACAGCACUGUGCAAACACGAAAGUGGACGUAUACGGUGUGACGCCUGCCCGGUGCCGGAAGGUUAAUUGAUGGGGUUAGCGGUAACGCGAAGCUCUUGAUCGAAGCCCCGGUAAACGGCGGCCGUAACUAUAACGGUCCUAAGGUAGCGAAAUUCCUUGUCGGGUAAGUUCCGACCUGCACGAAUGGCGUAAUGAUGGCCAGGCUGUCUCCACCCGAGACUCAGUGAAAUUGAACUCGCUGUGAAGAUGCAGUGUACCCGCGGCAAGACGGAAAGACCCCGUGAACCUUUACUAUAGCUUGACACUGAACAUUGAGCCUUGAUGUGUAGGAUAGGUGGGAGGCUUUGAAGUGUGGACGCCAGUCUGCAUGGAGCCGACCUUGAAAUACCACCCUUUAAUGUUUGAUGUUCUAACGUGGGCCCCUUACCGGGGUUGCGGACAGUGUCUGGUGGGUAGUUUGACUGGGGCGGUCUCCUCCUAAAGAGUAACGGAGGAGCACGAAGGUUGGCUAAUCCUGGUCGGACAUCAGGAGGUUAGUGCAAUGGCAUAAGCCAGCUUGACUGCGAGCGUGACGGCGCGAGCAGGUGCGAAAGCAGGUCAUAGUGAUCCGGUGGUUCUGAAUGGAAGGGCCAUCGCUCAACGGAUAAAAGGUACUCCGGGGAUAACAGGCUGAUACCGCCCAAGAGUUCAUAUCGACGGCGGUGUUUGGCACCUCGAUGUCGGCUCAUCACAUCCUGGGGCUGAAGUAGGUCCCAAGGGUAUGGCUGUUCGCCAUUUAAAGUGGUACGCGAGCUGGGUUUAGAACGUCGUGAGACAGUUCGGUCCCUAUCUGCCGUGGGCGCUGGAGAACUGAGGGGGGCUGCUCCUAGUACGAGAGGACCGGAGUGGACGCAUCACUGGUGUUCGGGUUGUCAUGCCAAUGGCACUGCCCGGUAGCUAAAUGCGGAAGAGAUAAGUGCUGAAAGCAUCUAAGCACGAAACUUGCCCCGAGAUGAGUUCUCCCUGACUCCUUGAGAGUCCUGAAGGAACGUUGAAGACGACGACGUUGAUAGGCCGGGUGUGUAAGCGCAGCGAUGCGUUGAGCUAACCGGUACUAAUGAACCGUGAGGCUUAACCUUACAACGCCGAAG
Molecule: ribosomal RNA, 2924 nt
Filed under: Escherichia coli
Lineage: Bacteria; Pseudomonadati; Pseudomonadota; Gammaproteobacteria; Enterobacterales; Enterobacteriaceae
Description: bacterial LSU rRNA
Rfam family: Bacterial large subunit ribosomal RNA
Source: RNAcentral